This 747-nucleotide ribosomal RNA is filed under the name uncultured bacterium. Its description in RNAcentral is "bacterial SSU rRNA". It matches the Rfam family "Bacterial small subunit ribosomal RNA", at positions 8 to 783 of the family's 1533-position model. The record is from RNAcentral.
AGAGUUUGAUCCUGGCUCAGGACGAACGCUGGCGGCGCGCUUAAUACAUGCAAGUCGAACGGGCCACCUUCGGGUGGUCAGUGGCGGACGGGUGAGUAACACGUGGGUGACCUGCCCUCGAGUGGGGAAUAACGCUGCGAAAGCAGUGCUAAUACCGCAUACGCUUAGUGUUUCACACAUUAAGUAAAGCUUCACGCGCUCGAGGAGGGGCCUGCGGCCGAUUAGCUAGUCGGUGGGGUAAUGGCCUACCGAGGCUCCGAUCGGUAGCUGGUCUGAGAGGAUGACCAGCCACACUGGGACUGAGACACGGCCCAGACUCCUACGGGAGGCAGCAGUAAGGGAUCUUCCACAAUGGGCGCAAGCCUGAUGGAGCGACGCCGCGUGCACGAUGAAGCCCUUCGGGGUGUAAAGUGCUUUUCUCGGAGAUGACCACAGACAGUAUCCGAGGAAUAAGCUUCGGCUAACUACGUGCCAGCAGCCGCGGUAAUACGUAGGAAGCAAGCGUUGUCCGGAAUCACUGGGCGUAAAGCGCGUGUAGGCGGACCCGCAAGUCUGCUGUGAAAGCCCUCGGCUCAACUGGGGGAGGUCGGUGGAAACUGCGGAUCUGGAGGCCGGUAGAGGGGGGUGGAAUUCCCGGUGUAGUGGUGAAAUGCGUAGAGAUCGGGAGGAACACCUGUGGCGAAAGCGGCCCCCUGGGCCGCGCCUGACGCUGAGACGCGAAAGCGCGGGGAGCGAACGGGAUUAGAU